GACGAACGCUGGCGGCGUGCCUAAUACAUGCAAGUCGAACGCUGAAGGAGUACCUUUCUCUUCUGCAUGAGUUGCGAACGGGUGAGUAACACGUAGGUAACCUGCCUUUGACCGUGGGAUAACUAUUGGAAACUAGAGCUAAUACCGCAUAAGAGUACAUGUUGCAUGAUAUUUACUUGAAAGUUUCAAUUGCUUGACUAGGACAUGGGCCUUCGUUGUAUUAGCUAGUGGGUGGGGUAUCGCCUUACCAAGGCGAGGAGACAUAGCCGAAAGGAGAGGGGGAUCGGCCACACUGGGAGUGAGACACGGCCCAGAGGGCUACGGGAGGGAGCAGUAGGGCAUCUUGGGCAAGGGACGGAAGUCUGAGCGAGAAACGCCGAGUGAGUGAAGAAGGAUGUCGGGUCGUAAAGGUCUGUUGUAAGAGAAGAACGAGUGUGAGAGUGGAAAGUUCACACUGUGACGGUAUCUGACCAGAAAGGGACGGCUAACUACGUG
Molecule: ribosomal RNA, 495 nt
Filed under: uncultured bacterium
Lineage: Bacteria
Description: partial 16S ribosomal RNA
Rfam family: Bacterial small subunit ribosomal RNA
Source: RNAcentral